CAAUAGCGUAUAUUAAUGUUGUUGCAGUUAAAAAGCUCGUAGUUGGAUUUUGGUUAAGAGGGCGCGGUCGGCCGUUUGGUCUGUACUGCGUUGUCUUGACUUCCUGAUGAGGACAUGCUCUUGGUUAACGCUGAGACAUGGAGUCAUCGUGGUUACUUUGAAAAAAUUAGAGUGUUCAAAGCGGGCUUACGCUUGAAUAUAUUAGCAUGGAAUAAUGGAAUAGGACUUGGGUUCUAUUUUGUUGGUUUCUAGGACCGAGGUAAUGAUUAAUAGGGGUAGUUGGGGGCAUUCGUAUUUAAUUGUCAGAGGUGAAAUUCUUGGAUUUAUGAAAGACGAACUUCUGCGAAAGCAUUUGCCAAGGAUGUUUUCAUUAAUCAAGAACGAAAGUUAGGGGAUCGAAGAUGAUUAGAUACCA
Molecule: ribosomal RNA, 415 nt
Filed under: uncultured eukaryote
Lineage: Eukaryota
Description: bacterial SSU rRNA
Rfam family: Eukaryotic small subunit ribosomal RNA
Source: RNAcentral